Molecule: ribosomal RNA, 253 nt
Filed under: uncultured bacterium
Lineage: Bacteria
Description: partial 16S ribosomal RNA
Rfam family: Bacterial small subunit ribosomal RNA
Source: RNAcentral
UUUCUUUGCUGGCGACCGGCGCACGGGUGAGUAACACGUAUCCAACCUGCCCUUUACUCGGGGAUAGCCUUUCGAAAGAAAGAUUAAUACCCGAUAGCAUAAUGAUUCCGCAUGGUUUCAUUAUUAAAGGAUUCCGGUAAAGGAUGGGGAUGCGUUCCAUUAGGUUGUUGGUGGGGUAACGGCCCACCAAGCCUUCGAUGGAUAGGGGUUCUGAGAGGAAGGUCCCCCACAUUGGAACUGAGACACGGUCCAA